RNAcentral lists this unclassified non-coding RNA (346 nucleotides) under uncultured Bordetella sp. RNAcentral's name for it is "partial 16S-23S ribosomal RNA intergenic spacer". It matches the Rfam family "Bacterial small subunit ribosomal RNA", at positions 10 to 361 of the family's 1533-position model. The record is from RNAcentral. Lineage: Bacteria; Pseudomonadati; Pseudomonadota; Betaproteobacteria; Burkholderiales; Alcaligenaceae.
AGUUUGAUCGGCUCCAGAUUGAACGCUGGCGGGAUGCUUUACGCCGCAAGUCGAACGGCGGCACGGACUUCGGUCUGGUGGCGAGUGGCGAACAGGUGAGUAAUGUAUCGGAACGUGCCUAGUAGCGGGGGAUAACUACGCGAAAGCGUAGUUAAUACCGCAUACGCCCUUCGAAGGGGAAAGCGGGGGACCUUCGGGCCUCGCACUAUUAGAGCGGCCGAUAUCGGAUUAGCUAGUUGGUGGGGUAACGGCUCACCAAGGCGACGAUCCGUAGCUGGUUUGAGAGGACGACCAGCCGCAGGACUGAGACACGGCCCAGACUCCUACGGGAAAUAGCAGUGGGGAA